AUGGUGUGCCUGGUGUCGUCGGUGAUCCCGUCGCGCGACCAAAAGUCCCUGGCCAAGUUCAUGGGGCCCAACGGCUCUCUCAACGUGUUCACGACGGCGGAGUACAACGCGACGGUGGAGUUCUACUGGGCGCCGUUCCUGGUGAGCUCCAACUCGGACGACACGCAGGUGCACAGCGUGGCGGACCGUGUUACCGCCUGGCGUUCCAUCGCCAAGCAUGCCCGGCACUGGCACGCCGCCCACUUCCUUGUCUUCAACACCUACGUCUGGUGGCUCAACAACUUUGAGAUGAAAGUGCAAGUACAUGCUGGUGGACCGGCCGGUGGCGUACAAGGAGGUGCUCAAGAUGUGGGCAAACUGGGUGGACCGCGGCGGAGGAGACGAGAGAAGACCACGGAAAGAAGACCACAGGCGGAGGAGAGGAGACGCGGUUGA
Molecule: ribosomal RNA, 435 nt
Filed under: Triticum aestivum (bread wheat)
Lineage: Eukaryota; Viridiplantae; Streptophyta; Magnoliopsida; Poales; Poaceae
Description: partial small subunit ribosomal RNA
Source: RNAcentral